RNAcentral lists this ribosomal RNA (815 nucleotides) under uncultured sediment archaeon. Its description in RNAcentral is "bacterial SSU rRNA". It matches the Rfam family "Archaeal small subunit ribosomal RNA", at positions 539 to 1353 of the family's 1478-position model. The record is from RNAcentral.
UUCCGGUUAAAUCCAUUAGCUCAACUGAUGGGCCGCCGGAAAAACUGCAAAGCUAGGGAGUGGGAGAGGUAGACGGUACUCGGUAGGAAGGGGUAAAAUCCUUUGAUCUAUUGAUGGCCACCUGUGGCGAAGGCGGUCUACCAGAACACGUUCGACGGUGAGGGAUGAAAGCUGGGGGAGCAAACCGGAUUAGAUACCCGGGUAGUCCCAGCUGUAAACGAUGCAGACUCGGUGAUGCACUGGCUUGUGGCCAGUGCAGUGCCGCAGGGAAGCCGUUAAGUUUGCCGCCUGGGAAGUACGUACGCAAGUAUGAAACUUAAAGGAAUUGGCGGGGGAGCACCACAAGGGGUGAAGCCUGCGGUUCAAUUGGAGUCAACGCCAGAAAUCUUACCCGAGGAGACAGUAGAAUGAAGGUCAAGCUGGAGACUUUACCAGACAAGCUGAGAAGUGGUGCAUGGCCGUCGCCAGCUCGUGCCGUGAGAUGUCCUGUUAAGUCAGGUAACGAGCGAGAUCCCUGCCUCUAGUUGCCACCAUUACUCUCAGGAGUAGUGGGGCGAAUUAGCGGGACCGCCACAGUUAAUGUGGAGGAAGGAAGGGGCCACGGCAGGUCAGUAUGCCCUGAAACCUUGGGGCCACACGCGGGCUGCAAUGAUAGUGACAAUGAGUUCCUAAACCGAAAGGUGGAGGCAAUCUUCAAACGCUAUCACAGUUAUGAUUGAGGGCUGCAACUCGCCCUCAUGAAUAUGGAAUCCCUAGUAACUGCGUGUCAUUACCGCGCAGUGAAUACGUCCCUGCUCCUUGCACACACCGCCCGU